Molecule: ribosomal RNA, 482 nt
Filed under: uncultured bacterium
Lineage: Bacteria
Description: bacterial SSU rRNA
Rfam family: Bacterial small subunit ribosomal RNA
Source: RNAcentral
CUACGUGCCAGCAGCCGCGGUAAUACGGAAGGUCCAGACGUUAUCCGGAUUUAUUGGGUUUAAAGGGAGCGUAGGCGGAUUAUUAAGUCAGUGGUGAAAGACGGUGGCUCAACCAUCGUUAGCCAUUGAAACUGGUAGUCUUGAGUGCAGACAGGGAUGCUGGAACUCGUGGUGUAGCGGUGAAAUGCUUAGAUAUCACGAUGAACUCCGAUCGCGAAGGCAGGUGUCCGGGCUGCAACUGACGCUGAGGCUCGAAAGUGUGGGUAUCAAACAGGAUUAGAUACCCUGGUAGUCCACACAGUAAACGAUGUAUACUCGCGGUUUGCGAUAUAAUGUAAGCCGCCAAGCGAAAGCAUUAAGUAUACCACCUGGGGAGUACGCCGGCAACGGUGAAACUCAAAGGAAUUGACGAGGGCCCGCACAAGCGGAGGAACAUGUGGUUUAAUUCGAUGAUACGCGAGGAACCUUACCCGGGCUUGAAC